AUUGAACGCUGGCGGCAGGCCUAACACAUGCAAGUCGAGCGGAUGAAGGGAGCUUGCUCCUGGAUUCAGCGGCGGACGGGUGAGUAAUGCCUAGGAAUCUGCCUGGUAGUGGGGGAUAACGUCCGGAAACGGGCGCUAAUACCGCAUACGUCCUGAGGGAGAAAGUGGGGGAUCUUCGGACCUCACGCUAUCAGAUGAGCCUAGGUCGGAUUAGCUAGUUGGUGGGGUAAAGGCCUACCAAGGCGACGAUCCGUAACUGGUCUGAGAGGAUGAUCAGUCACACUGGAACUGAGACACGGUCCGGACUCCUACGGGAGGCAGCAGUGGGGAAUAUUGGACAAUGGGCGAAAGCCUGAUCCAGCCAUGCCGCGUGUGUGAAGAAGGUCUUCGGAUUGUAAAGCACUUUAAGUUGGGAGGAAGGGCAGUAAGUUAAUACCUUGCUGUUUUGACGUUACCAACAGAAUAAGCACCGGCCAACUUCGUG
RNAcentral lists this ribosomal RNA (484 nucleotides) under uncultured bacterium. RNAcentral describes it as "partial 16S ribosomal RNA". It matches the Rfam family "Bacterial small subunit ribosomal RNA", at positions 30 to 507 of the family's 1533-position model. The record is from RNAcentral.